UUAUUGACAUUUCAUCAAUUUCUAUUGUUAAAAAGUGUCAUGAUUAAUGGAAUAUAUUGACGGUUACAUAUGGUGGACCACGUAUACUAACGUACAUAGAUCAUAUUUUAACAGUAAAAAUGGAUGAAAUUUUUAUCA
Non-coding RNA from Gossypium raimondii (Peruvian cotton), 138 nucleotides. The record is from Rfam. NCBI's taxonomy places the organism in Eukaryota, Viridiplantae, Streptophyta, Magnoliopsida, Malvales, Malvaceae.